RNAcentral lists this ribosomal RNA (1554 nucleotides) under Triticum aestivum (bread wheat). Its description in RNAcentral is "partial small subunit ribosomal RNA". Lineage: Eukaryota; Viridiplantae; Streptophyta; Magnoliopsida; Poales; Poaceae. The record is from RNAcentral.
AUGCCACUACCAGAUAGUUCGAUUCUUCAAGAUAUAAAUAAUAGAUUAGUAAAUGAGGAACUAAACUACGAUAAAGAUUCUUUAAUAAUAGAGCACACAGAGUUACUACAAAAGCUAAAUCAAGAUCAGAGGAUGGCUUUUGAUGUUAUAACAGAAUCAGUUAGCAGCAGUUGUGGAAAACUGAUUUUCGUUCAUGGAUAUGGUGGAACUGGAAAGACAUUUCUGUGGAAAGCAGUCACGACAAAAUUAAGAUCCGAAGGAAAAAUAGUUCUAGCAGUAGCUUCAAGUGAUAUAGCAGCACUUCUUUUACAGGGUGGAAGAAUAGCUCAUUCAAGAUUUCACAUUCCACUCAAAAUCACAAACGAGUCCACAUGCAACAUCAAGCAAGGAACAUUUCUCGCGGAACUAAUAAAGAAAACUUCACUGAUAAUAUGGGAUGAAGCACCUAUGACACACAAGCACUGUUCUGAGGCACUAGACAAGAGUUUGAGAGACAUGCUUCGAUUCACAAAUGAGGUUGCCGAGCAUAGACCGUUUGGAGGAAUGACAGUAGUCUUGGGAGGUGACUUCAGGCAAAUCCUACCAGUUAUACCAAAGGGGAAAAGGGAACAUAUCAUUUCAGCAUCUAUAAAGAGAUCGUACCUAUGGAAGAACUUUGAGGAGUACCGACUCACAGAAAAUAUGCGUCUGAAUUCAUUCGAAGGUAGUCCUGAAGAGAAAGCAAAGACAACAGAAUUUGCAAACUGGAUACUAAACAUCGGCGAUGGCACAACAACAACAAUAGAUGAUGAAGACUGGGUUAGCAUCCCAGAAGACCUUAUUUUACAUAAAGGAGAUGACCCAAAAGCAUCUAUAGUUAAUAAUACAUACCCUGAAUUACACAACAAGUACACUGAUAGAACAUACCUAGAGGAAAGAGCGAUCCUGUGCCCAAGGAACGAGACUGUUGACCAGAUUAACACCUACAUCAUGAGUCAAAUUCCUGGAGAAGAGGUAACCUAUCUCAGUUCAGAUACAACAUGCAAGGCAAUGUCUAUGGUGGAAGACGAAGAUAUGUUGUACCCAACUGAAUUUCUAAAUAGUCUAACAUUUUUUGGAAUACCCGAUCAUGAACUGAGGUUGAAAAUAGUAUUACCAGUAAUGCUUAUGAGGAACAUCAAUCAAAGUGCAGGACUUUGCAACGGGACAAGACUAACAAUAACACAGCUAGGAAAGCGUUUCAUCGAAGGCCAGGUCAUAACAGGUGCUAACAUUGGUGACAAAGUUUACAUCCCAUUAAUUAUUAUGUCACCAAGUGAUUCAAAAUGGCCUUUCAUUCUGAAAAGGAGACAAUACCCAAUAUCAGUGUGCUUUGCUAUGACAAUAAACAAAAGUCAGGGGCAAUCUCUCAAAAAGGUUGGACUCUACUUAGAAAGGCAAGUGUUCACACAUGGCCAACUCUAUGUUGCAAUGUCAAGGGUUACCAACAGAAAUGGAUUGCGGAUACUUAUAUCAGAUGAAGAGCGUCCAUCCCACAAGGUUGCAAAAAACAUUGUUUACAAGGAUAUAUUAUAG